GCACAAGCGGUGGAUGAUGUGGAUUAAUUCGAUGCAACGCGAAAACCUUUACCUACCCUUGACAUGUCUGGAAAGCCGAAGAGAUUUGGCCGUGCUCGCAAGAGAACCGGAACACAGGUGCUGCAUGGCUGUCGUCAGCUCGUGUCGUGAGAUGUUGGGUUAAGUCCCGCAACGAGCGCAACCCUUGUCAUUAGUUGCUACGCAAGAGCACUCUAAUGAGACUGCCGGUGUCAAACCGGAGGAAGGUGGGGAUGACGUCAAGUCCUCAUGGCCUUUAUGACCAGGGCUACACACGUACUACAAUGGCCGGUACAAAGGGCAGCGACACAGCGAUGUGAAGCCAAUCCCGAAAAGCCGGUCUCAGUCCGGAUUGGAGUCUGCAACUCGACUCCAUGAAGUUGGAAUCGCUAGUAAUCGCGGAUCAGCACGCCGCGGUGAAUACGUUCCCGGGCCUU
Molecule: ribosomal RNA, 455 nt
Filed under: uncultured Alcaligenes sp.
Lineage: Bacteria; Pseudomonadati; Pseudomonadota; Betaproteobacteria; Burkholderiales; Alcaligenaceae
Description: bacterial SSU rRNA
Rfam family: Bacterial small subunit ribosomal RNA
Source: RNAcentral